RNAcentral lists this ribosomal RNA (632 nucleotides) under uncultured Sebacina. RNAcentral describes it as "eukaryotic LSU rRNA". The stretch from base 226 to 379 matches the Rfam family "5.8S ribosomal RNA". The record is from RNAcentral. Lineage: Eukaryota; Fungi; Basidiomycota; Agaricomycetes; Sebacinales; Sebacinaceae.
AUAGAGGAAGUAAAAGUCGUAACAAGGUUUCCGUAGGUGAACCUGCGGAAGGAUCAUUAAUGAUUGCGAAUGGUUGCCUUCGGUGCUGGCUCUUGCAAGUGCACGUUGGUGGCUUUCAUCCAAUACCCCUGUGAACCUUUGGCCUCUUGCUAGCUUCGGCUGGCAGAGGAUUUUUACACACUCGAAUGUAAUGAAAACUAUUGUCGUGCGCAAGCACUAAUGUACAACUUUCAACAACGGAUCUCUUGGCUCUCGCAUCGAUGAAGAACGCAGCGAAAUGCGAUAAGUAAUGUGAAUUGCAGAAUUCAGUGAAUCAUCGAAUCUUUGAACGCACCUUGCACCCUUUGGUAUUCCGAAGGGUAUGCUCGUUUGAGUGUCAUUGUACUCUCACACUCUCUGAUCUUUUUGGAUUCAGGGAGCGGUGGACUUGGGUGUUUGCUGCUUACCUGCAGCUCACCUCAAAUGCGUCAGUGCACCUCUUGGUUGGACAUAGUACGGCGUGAUAAGUAUCUUCGCCGGCACCUCGCAAGAGGGUGGCCGAUUGGGAGCUCUGUGCUUUCAAACCGUCUUCGGACAAUUUCUGACAACUUGACCUCAAAUCGAGUAGGACUACCCGCUGAACUUAAGCAUAU